RNAcentral lists this long non-coding RNA (560 nucleotides) under Eucalyptus grandis. RNAcentral's name for it is "long non-coding RNA (EGRA_LNC005016)". The record is from RNAcentral. Lineage: Eukaryota; Viridiplantae; Streptophyta; Magnoliopsida; Myrtales; Myrtaceae.
GGCGGUCGGUCCAUGACAAAGAUCUAAUCGCCCCGAUUUGUUCAUUUCAUUGAAAGCAAGGUUGUUACAUAACGCAAGAAAAGACAUGAGGGAGAGCUCCCAAACAACGAAGCUAAUUAUGAGUCCCAUCUCUCGAUAUUGCAACAUGAGACAAAUUCUUUAACAUUGUGACACAUGUGAGCAUGGGCCCAUUACAUAUCGCACUUGACUCAAUCUAACUAACGAAGACAGCUUCCGCUUGCGGCAGCCCCACCGACUCGGGUUGACUUCGAGGCACGCUCCUCAGCUUCUUCGAGCUUCCUUUUGAGGCACUUGAUCUCGGCUCGGUGGGUGGUCUUUAAUGGCACGUCGGGAAUCUUCGGGCGUAGGUUCUCUGGGAUUUUAUGCCUAAGGAUGUAUUCCAUCGAGGCAUAGUAAGUCUUCUCUUGCCCUUCCAACUCCUCUUCGGGCCAUAUCAGCUUCCGGGGAUGGCACAUAUCCCACAUUGACUUGACUAACGCAAUGGAGUCUUCGUGAUCCUGGCAUCCAUCCGGGAAGUCUAUCCUAAGCGGGUCUUCUUG